Molecule: long non-coding RNA, 351 nt
Organism: Neomonachus schauinslandi (Hawaiian monk seal)
Lineage: Eukaryota; Metazoa; Chordata; Mammalia; Carnivora; Phocidae
Exons: 3
Source: RefSeq, a predicted model, not a curated record
UCACUUGGGGAUGAAGGAGUGAGCUGACCUGGAAUCACCUGACACUCCGCAGCACGGACAAAAUCAUAAGCUCCAGUUGUAUAAGCCAGCCCUGGGAUCACCUGUGCUUUGAGAGAAGGCUGGAAUGGCAUUGGAUAACUUGUAAGGGGAUGGAGCCCCCAAAGGUUUCUUUUCAUUUGGGACAAAGGAGACGCUGGCCAUGUGUACCCUGUGAGAGAAGACUCAGAAGAAGCGGUCUUGAGGAGCUCUUCCUCCAUGGGUAUGAUCCAAGGCAUCGAGAUUACUAAUAGGAAUUUCCGCCAGUCCACAAACUCCAAGUUUACUAUUAAUAAAGAUGUUAACUCCUGCAAC